RNAcentral lists this ribosomal RNA (1312 nucleotides) under marine metagenome. RNAcentral describes it as "bacterial LSU rRNA". It matches the Rfam family "Bacterial large subunit ribosomal RNA", at positions 1264 to 2542 of the family's 2925-position model. The record is from RNAcentral.
AGACAGGUGUCGUUGAUUAGAGAAGUGAAUAUGUUGGUAUAAGUAACGUAAAAACGGGUGAAAUUCCCGUUCGUCGAAAACCCAAGGGUUCCGUGAGAAAGGUUUAUCCACUCAGGGUUAGUCGAUCCCUAAGCCGAGGCCAAUUGGAGUAGGCGAUGGAAAGCAGGUUAAAUAUUCCUGCACCACUUUUAGCGUCUAAGUGAUGGGGUGACGCAGUAAGAUAAACUGACUUGGAUUAUGGUUACGCCAAGCUAAGCGUAAAGAGGGGUUUUGUAGGUAAAUCCGCAAAAUCAUUACCUUGAAACGUUAUGGGCAUGCCAAUCAUAGUGAGAGGCAUGUUCGGUUGAUUCUACACUGACUAGAAAAACCUCUAGCGAGCAAAAAAGUGAUCGUACCGUAAACCGACACAGGUGGGUGAGUCGAGAAGACUAAGACGUUGAGAUAACUCUCAUUCAGGAACUCGGCAAUCUAGCCCCGUAACUUCGGGAUAAGGGGUGCCAACGCUGUAGCUUUAGGUAAAACUAAGGUGGCGGAGGUUGGCUGCAACAAAGAGGUCCAAGCGACUGUUUAACAAAAACACAAGGCUAUGCAAACUCGUAAGAGGAAGUAUAUAGUCUGACGCCUGCCCAGUGCCGGAAGGUUAACAGGAGGUGUUAGCUCGUAAGAGCAAAGCACUGAAUCGAAGCCCCGGUAAACGGCGGCCGUAACUCUGACGGUCCUAAGGUAGCGAAGUCCCUUGUCGGGUAAGUUCCGACCCGCAUGAAUGGCGUAACGACUUGGACGCUGUCUUAAUGAGAGACUCAGUGAAUUUGUAGUUCCGGUGAAAAUGCCGGGCACCCGCGACAGGACGGAAAGACCCUGUGCACCUUUACUAUAACUUGACAUUGAUUUUUGGAUUACCAUGUGUAGGAUAGGCGGGAGACUUUGAAGUUGUGGCGUCAGCUGCGAUGGAGUCAUCCUUGAAAUACCGCCCUUGUUGAUUUGAAAAUCUAACUUCUCAUCCGUUAACCGGAAGAAGGACAGUGUCUGGUGGGUAGUUUGACUGGGGUGGUCGCCUCCUAAAGAGUAACGGAGGCGUUCAAAGGUUCCCUCACGACGUAUAGAAAUCGUCGUAGUGAGCGCAAAAGCAAAAGGGAGCUUGACUGCGAGACAAACAAGUCGAGCAGGUGCGAAAGCAGGAUUUAGUGAUCCAGUGGUUCCAUAUGGAAGGGCCAUUGCUAAACGGAUAAAAGGUACGCCGGGGAUAACAGGCUGAUCUCCUCUAAGAGUCCACAUCGACGAGGAGGUUUGGCACCUCGAUGUCGGCUCAUCG